UACGUAGGAGGCGAGCGUUGUCCGGAGUUACUGGGCGUAAAGGGUGCGCAGGCGGCCGUUCCGCGUGGCGAGAUGAAAUCUCCUGGCUUACCUGGGAGGGUGGUCGCCAGACGGGAGCGCUUGAGGGUCGGAGAGGGGCGUGGAAUUCCGGGUGGAGCGGUGAAAUGCGUAGAGAUCCGGAGGAACACCGACGGCGUAGGCAGCGCCCUGGACGACACCUGACGCUGAGG
RNAcentral lists this ribosomal RNA (230 nucleotides) under uncultured bacterium. Its description in RNAcentral is "partial 16S ribosomal RNA". It matches the Rfam family "Bacterial small subunit ribosomal RNA", at positions 524 to 751 of the family's 1533-position model. The record is from RNAcentral.